AUAGCAACAAGCAAACCUUAAUGCUUAAAAAAAUAAUUUGUUAGAUGUUUGUUACCUAACAUUGGGGAUGAUUGAAGAAUGAAAAGGGCUCAGCUGUAAAGGAGAGCUACAGUAGUUUUUAGGCUCUGUAUAAAUAAAGUCCUGGUCGCAAUCUCUGGAAGCCACCUGAGAACCACUGGGGAUGACGUCCUACCGCCUGUGUGAGUCAUCCAGAUCCGACUCAUACCAAUGCUUGAACCCAGGACCUCUGCCUCCCAAAUGCACAUGACCGCCUCAUUAACGCAACCUUACCUCGUAGCGCCGUCAAAAAAAUGCCAACUGCCGGCACGAGUGGGGACGCAUCCCCUCUCCUUCAGCUUCCCCGUAACUGUGUAAUAUAU
Long non-coding RNA from Esox lucius (northern pike), 380 nucleotides. RefSeq lists it as uncharacterized. The transcript is spliced from 3 exons. The record is from RefSeq and is a predicted model, not a curated record. Lineage: Eukaryota; Metazoa; Chordata; Actinopteri; Esociformes; Esocidae.